This 1378-nucleotide ribosomal RNA is filed under the name uncultured bacterium. RNAcentral's name for it is "bacterial SSU rRNA". It matches the Rfam family "Bacterial small subunit ribosomal RNA". The record is from RNAcentral.
AGAGUUUGAUCCUGGCUCAGGACGAACGCUGGCGGCGCGCCUAACACAUGCAAGUCGAACGGAGCUUAGAGAGCUUGCUUUUUAAGCUUAGUGGCGAACGGGUGAGUAACGCGUGAGUAACCUGCCCUAGAGUGGGGGACAACAGUUGGAAACGACUGCUAAUACCGCAUAAGCCCACGGUACCGCAUGGCACUGAGGGAAAAGGAUUUAUUCGCUUUAGGAUGGACUCGCGUCCAAUUAGCUAGUUGGUGAGGUAACAGCCCACCAAGGCGACGAUUGGUAGCCGGACUGAGAGGUUGAACGGCCACAUUGGGACUGAGACACGGCCCGGACUCCUACGGGAGGCAGCAGUGGGGGAUAUUGCACAAUGGGGGAAACCCUGAUGCAGCGACGCCGCGUGGAGGAAGAAGGUUUUCGGAUUGUAAACUCCUGUCGUUAGGGACGAUAAUGACGGUACCUAACAAGAAAGCACCGGCUAACUACGUGCCAGCAGCCGCGGUAAAACGUAGGGUGCAAGCGUUGUCCGGAAUUACUGGGUGUAAAGGGAGCGCAGGCGGGAAGACAAGUUGGAAGUGAAAACCAUGGGCUCAACCCAUGAAUUGCUUUCAAAACUGUUUUUCUUGAGUAGUGCAGAGGUAGAUGGAAUUCCCGGUGUAGCGGUGGAAUGCGUAGAUAUCGGGAGGAACACCAGUGGCGAAGGCGGUCUACUGGGCACCAACUGACGCUGAGGCUCGAAAGCAUGGGUAGCAAACAGGAUUAGAUACCCUGGUAGUCCAUGCCGUAAACGAUGAUUACUAGGUGUUGGGGGAUUGACCCCCUCAGUGCCGCAGUUAACACAAUAAGUAAUCCACCUGGGGAGUACGACCGCAAGGUUGAAACUCAAAGGAAUUGACGGGGGCCCGCACAAGCAGUGGAGUAUGUGGUUUAAUUCGAAGCAACGCGAAGAACCUUACCAGGUCUUGACAUCCUUCUGACCACUCCGUAAUGGGAGUCUUCCUUCGGGACAGAAGAGACAGGUGGUGCAUGGUUGUCGUCAGCUCGUGUCGUGAGAUGUUGGGUUAAGUCCCGCAACGAGCGCAACCCCUAUCUUCAGUAGCCAGCAGGUAAGGCUGGGCACUCUGGAGAGACUGCCAGGGAUAACCUGGAGGAAGGUGGGGACGACGUCAAAUCAUCAUGCCCCUUAUGAUCUGGGCGACACACGUGCUACAAUGGCGGUCACAAAGUGAGGCGAACCCGCGAGGGGGAGCAAACCACAAAAAGGCCGUCCCAGUUCGGACUGUAGUCUGCAACCCGACUACACGGAGCUGGAAUCGCUAGUAAUCGCGAAUCAGAAUGUCGCGGUGAAUACGUUCCCGGGUCUUGUACUCACCGCCCGUCA